CUGGACAUAAUAGAGUUUGAAUUUCGCUUAAAGUGUUGUUUUUCCAAGUGAAAUAAAUUGUUUUGAUAUCUCUCAUAUUGUCUAGGUCUAACUAAUCUGACCAAUAUAACAUGUGGCCUUGGUCUUAGCAUUAAAUUUAGAAGGACAGGAUAAGGAUACCAGUGGGAAAUUCGAAGAGCUUCCUGAAUAAAGACGAAUGAAGAAUUGCAGAUGGCAUUUCCUGUAUUCAUCACACAUUUCUGUAUUUUUAAAAUGUUUUUAUUCUAGUAUUUACAUAAAAUAUAUGACAGGCAGGAAAGUUAAAAUCAUUUAUAGAUAGCAGAAACAUUCUGUAAACGUUUUAACAUGUAUUAUAUAUACAUAUAUGUGUAUAUAUACAUUAUAAAUACAUAUAUAUUAAUCCUCUAGCAAAAAAAAAACAUUGAGGCAGACUCAGGGCUGCUGGAAGCUCUGAAGGGAAUCCAGACAGAGAAAUGCUCAAUUAAGGGCGGCAAUCGUGAAUACUGGAUGAAAAGAGGAAUAAAAAGACAUUCUGCAAUGUUAUGGGCAGAGCCAGAAUUUGAUGAAUGUUUUCUGAAUUACGGAAUGAGCAAGUGUCAGAACAGCGAUGGUUGGGGUUCUGGAUUAUAAGGUGCUUUCUUAGUUAUCCGCUUGCUCUGAAGAAUAUGCAAUGUGUAUGACAUGACAAAGGGUAGCACAAGCAUUUAAAUCAAAGGUAUGCAAACUAUGGCCCCUAAGAGGCAGUUGACAAGUGAUUAGUUUCCUACUGCUGGCAAAACAAAUCACCACAAACUCAAACCAAUUACUGACACAAGACGACACUAUAUCAGUUACUUUGUGGUUUAGAGGUGGAGAGGAGGGUAGCUAUGUGUGUGCAAGUACAUAAAUAUGUAUCUAUUUUUUAAGCUUGAUUGAUCAUACUUCACUACAUAGUUUUAGAGGUAGAAAAGAAGUACUAAGAUAAGAACAAGCUAAAUAUCUUUCCAGGAAGGGGAGCAAAUAACGAACUGAGGCAGGAGAAUCGCUUGAACUUGGGAGGCAGAGGUUGCAGUGAGCCGAGAUCGCACGACUGCACUCCAGCCUGGGUGACAGAGUGAGACUCCGUGUCCAAAAAAAAAAAAAAAAAAGAAAGAAAA
Molecule: long non-coding RNA, 1136 nt
Filed under: Pan troglodytes (chimpanzee)
Lineage: Eukaryota; Metazoa; Chordata; Mammalia; Primates; Hominidae
Description: long non-coding RNA NONPTRT009454
Source: RNAcentral